UACGGGGGGAGCAAGCGUUGUUCGGAUUUACUGGGCGUAAAGGGCGCGUAGGCGGCCACCGCAAGUCGACUGUGAAAUCUCCGGGCUUAACCCGGAAAGGUCAGCCGAUACUGCGGGCUAGAGUGCAGAAGGGGCAACUGGAAUUCUCGGUGUAGCGGUGAAAUGCGUAGAUAUCGAGAGGAACACCUGCGGCGAAGGCGGGUUGCUGGGCUGAUACUGACGCUGAGGCGCGAAAGCCAGGGAGCGAACGGG
Molecule: ribosomal RNA, 252 nt
Filed under: uncultured bacterium
Lineage: Bacteria
Description: partial 16S ribosomal RNA
Rfam family: Bacterial small subunit ribosomal RNA
Source: RNAcentral